AUCUAGGGCCAUACCAUCCUGAAUGCAGCUGCUCUUGUCUGAUAUCCAAAGCUAAGAAGGCUCAGGCCUGGUUAGUACUUUUUCGGUGUGGUGGUACAAGGCUAUAAUCCCAGUGCUUGGGAGG
RNAcentral lists this ribosomal RNA (124 nucleotides) under Octodon degus (degu). The record is from RNAcentral. Lineage: Eukaryota; Metazoa; Chordata; Mammalia; Rodentia; Octodontidae.